This 406-nucleotide ribosomal RNA is filed under the name uncultured bacterium. Its description in RNAcentral is "partial 16S ribosomal RNA". It matches the Rfam family "Bacterial small subunit ribosomal RNA", at positions 28 to 526 of the family's 1533-position model. The record is from RNAcentral.
GAUGAACGCUAGCUACAGGCUUAACACAUGCAAGUCGAGGGACGGGCGCACGGGUGAGUAACACGUAUCCAACCUUCCUUUUACUCGGGGAUAGCCUUUCGAAAGAAAGAUUAAUACCCGAUAUAAAGGAUGGGGAUGCGUUCCAUGAGGUUGUUGGUGAGGUAACGGCCCACCAAGCCUUCGAUGGAUAGUGGUUCUGAGUGGAAGGUCCCCCACAGUGGAACUGAGACACGGUCCAAACUCCUACGGGAGGCAGCAGUGAGGAAUAUUGGUGAAUGGGCGCUAGCCUGAACCAGCCAAGUAGCGUGAAGGAUGAAGGCUUAUGGGUCGUAAACUUCUUUUAUAUAAGAAUAUGUAUUAUAUGAAUAAGGAUCGGCUAACUCCGUGCCAGCAGCCGCGGUAAUAC